UACGUAGGGUGCAAGCGUUGUCCGGAAUUAUUGGGCGUAAAGAGCUCGUAGGCGGUUUGUUGCGUCGGCUGUGAAAUCCCGAGGCUCAACCUCGGGUCUGCAGUCGAUACGAGCAAACUAGAGUGUUGCAGGGGGGACUGGAAUUCCUGGUGUAGCGGUGAAAUGCGCAGAUAUCAGGAGGAACACCGGUGGCGAAGGCGGGUCUCUGGGCAACAACUGACGCUGAGGAGCGAAAGCAUGGGGAGCGAACAGG
This 253-nucleotide ribosomal RNA is filed under the name uncultured bacterium. RNAcentral describes it as "partial 16S ribosomal RNA". It matches the Rfam family "Bacterial small subunit ribosomal RNA", at positions 524 to 776 of the family's 1533-position model. The record is from RNAcentral.